Molecule: ribosomal RNA, 1206 nt
Filed under: Nosema sp.
Lineage: Eukaryota; Fungi; Microsporidia; Nosematidae
Description: SSU rRNA
Rfam family: Microsporidia small subunit ribosomal RNA
Source: RNAcentral
GUCACGACGUUGUAAAACGACCACCAGGUUGAUUGCCUGACGUAGACGCUAUACUCUAAGAUUAACCCAUGCAUGUUUAUUGAAUAUAAAGAAAAGACGAACAGCUCAGUAACUCUUAUUUGAUUUGAUGUAUUAGGACUCUAACUAUGUUAAAUUAUAGGUAACAAUAAUACAAUAAGAAUAAGAUCUAUCAGUUAGUUGUUAAGGUAAUGGCUUAACAAGACUAUGACGGAUAACGGUAUUACUUUGUAAUAUUCCGGAGAAGGAGCCUGAGAGAUUGCUACUAAGUCUAAGGAUUGCAGCAGGGGCGAAACUUGACCUAUGAUAUUAUAUUGAGGCAGUUAUGAGUAGUAUUUUAUAAUUAUUGUAGUAUUGUAAGUACAUAUUACAAGAUAAAUCGGAGGGCAAAUCGAGUGCCAGCAGCCGCGGUAAUACUUGUUCCGAUAGUGUGUAUGAUGAUUGAUGCAGUUAAAAAGUCUGUAGUUUAUUUAUAAUAAGCAUUGUAAGGUAUACUGUAUGGUUAGGAGAGAGAUGAAAUGUGAUAACCCUAACUGGAUGAACAGAAGCGAAAGCUGUAUACUUAAAUGUAUUAUUAGAACAAGGACGUAAGCUAGAGGAUCGAAGAUGAUUAGAUACCAUUGUAGUUCUAGCAGUAAACUAUGUUGAAUCAUAGAUAUAUUUUGAUAUAUAUUUAUGUAGAGAAAUUAAGAUUAUAUUGACUCUGGGGAUAGUAUGAUCGCAAGAUUGAAAAUUAAAGAAAUUGACGGAAGAAUACCACAAGGAGUGGAUUGUGCGGCUUAAUUUGACUCAACGCGGGGUAAUUUACCAGGUAUAACAUGAUAUAAUAUUUUAUCAUGAUAGUGGUGCAUGGCCGUUUCCAAUGGAUGCUGUGAAGUAAUGAUUAAUUUCAACAAGAUGUGAGACCCUCAUAUAGACAGAUGUAGUGAUACAUAUGAAGGAGAGGAUUAAAACAGGUCCGUUAUGCCCUAAGAUAAUCUGGGUUGCACGCGCAAUACAAUAAUAUUUGAUAUUAUAAGGGAUAAUAUAAUGUAAGAUAUAUUUGAACAUGGAAUUGCUAGUAAAUUUUAUUUAAUAAGUAGAAUUGAAUGAGUCCCUGUUCUUUGUACACACCGCCCGUCGCUAUCUAAGAUGGUAUUAUCUAUGAACAAAUUUAUAAAGUGAAUAGAUAGUACUAGAUCUGAUAUA